GAUGAACGCUGGCGGCGUGCUUAACACAUGCAAGUCGAACGAAGCACUUUAUUUGAUUUCCUUCGGGACUGAUUAUUUUGUGACUGAGUGGCGGACGGGUGAGUAACGCGUGGGUAACCUGCCUUGUACAGGGGGAUAACAGUUGGAAACGGCUGCUAAUACCGCAUGAGCGCACAGCAUCGCAUGAUGCAGUGUGAAAAACUCCGGUGGUAUAAGAUGGACCCGCGUUGGAUUAGCUAGUUGGUGAGGUAACGGCCCACCAAGGCGACGAUCCAUAGCCGACCUGAGAGGGUGACCGGCCACAUUGGGACUGAGACACGGCCCAAACUCCUACGGGAGGCAGCAGUGGGGAAUAUUGCACAAUGGGCGAAAGCCUGAUGCAGCGACGCCGCGUGAGCGAAGAAGUAUUUCGGUAUGUAAAGCUCUAUCAGCAGGGAAGAUAAUGACGGUACCUGACUAAGAAGCACCGGCUAAAUACGUG
This 481-nucleotide ribosomal RNA is filed under the name uncultured bacterium. RNAcentral describes it as "partial 16S ribosomal RNA". It matches the Rfam family "Bacterial small subunit ribosomal RNA", at positions 28 to 507 of the family's 1533-position model. The record is from RNAcentral.